GCCAUGGGGUUCUCCGCGACGACCUCGUGAGGCGCAAGCCCAAUGUUCGCGUCCCAAUCCCUCAACAUGAGGAAGGACGCGUUAUG
Hyphomicrobium sp. SCN 65-11 is the source of this 86-nucleotide non-coding RNA. NCBI's taxonomy places the organism in Bacteria, Pseudomonadati, Pseudomonadota, Alphaproteobacteria, Hyphomicrobiales, Hyphomicrobiaceae. The record is from Rfam.